CCCUCACUCAGCCGCUCUCGUUGCUCUCUACCUCUCUCACACGAAUCACACUCACCCACCCAUACCAAGUGAAGCAAUCAAGCAACAAAAAUAGCCGCCGGUAGCCACUGUCAUUAACUCACAGCGAACCGAUGAUUACAACCACCAUUGUUCAUCUAUCGUCGAUUGAGCUUGAGGGACACAGCCACGCGAGUGCAGCCCGCGACUCGGCAGCAACCCAGGAGCAUCAGCCGCGCAACGUAUUAGCAGCCACUCGAACCCACAGCAGUAG
Molecule: long non-coding RNA, 271 nt
Filed under: Citrus sinensis (sweet orange)
Lineage: Eukaryota; Viridiplantae; Streptophyta; Magnoliopsida; Sapindales; Rutaceae
Description: long non-coding RNA (CSIN_LNC004344)
Source: RNAcentral